UGACAUGUAUGUAUUUUUGCCGAACAUGUGUGCAAAAUAUUGAGUUUUGUUUAAUUUUUUAAAAUAAAAACCGAGAGAAAUUAAUCAAAAAAAAUUACACACGAUUGUACGAAAUGUCGCAAUUUAUCCAUACCGAUGUCACAGCAGUGAAAUCGUACCGAAACCUCAUAUUAUCAGGUAUCGGUAGUUCAAUCAGCGUGUUCGAAAAGGAAUCCUUUAAAUUAUUGACACGAAUUAAAUGCCUUGAGGGACAAAAAAUUUAUGGAUUAGUGCCUUUGGAAAACAGCAGUAAAGUUCUUGUUUUUGGUGGGAAACAGUAUACAGUUAUCAAAUUUAACGAAGACUGUACAAAUGUUGAACGUUUGUUUAUGCCACCUACUUGUGACGACUGGUUGCAUUCAGCUGUAUGGGUGGAUGCUGAUUCAGUAGCAUUAUUGACUGCUCACAACACAAUUCAGAUAUGGAAUGUAACCACCGAAAGCAUGUUGAGCCAGCACUUGAGCACAGACAACUCGAUUCUGUACAGUGGCCUGUUGCUGCCUUUACAAGAUGGCUUGGUGGUGUUCGCUGGAACCGUAUAUUCGGAGGUUAUCAUUCAUACCCCUCAAAAUGAAAAGCCUUUACACAUUUUGAAGGGACAUAGGGGAGUAAUAUUCUCAAUAUCAUGUGAUCCAGAAAAUUCUGUGAUGGUUACAACUUCAGAUGACAGAUCAGUUAGAAUUUGGCAAUUAAUACGAACCGAUUACACAUUACUAUUGCCAUGGAACACAACCGAAUACUGGACGAAUGUAAACAUUGUGUGUAGCCACGAAGUGUAUGGCCACACAGCUCGAGUAAUGAGAAGUUACAUCACGGAAGAUCUGAUUGUAUCUGUUGGGGAGGACUCAACUAUAUGUUUUUGGAACCACAAAGGAAACUUGCUCAAGAAAAACGAAUCACACAAAAACUGCCCCAUUUGGUCUGUAGAUGGUGAUUCCAGUCAUUUAUUUACUGGUGGUGGUGAUGGGGCAGUCAUUAUGCAUCCUUUGACUAUGGCUUUAGAGGAAGGUCAGCAAACAACAAUACAUUUAAACACUCAAAAAGAAAUUGUACCAAAAAAAAUUGCUAUAACAGCCAGAAAUAAUCUUGUAAUUUUAGAUGACUCUGAUGGGGUAAUAUACUAUUACAAAACAAAGGCUAUGACUACUGAAACACAUAUAGUAAACAUUUAUUCUACUCUCAGAUUUCUCAGUGCAUCGAGCUGCAAGCAACUUUUUGCAGUAGGAGACAUGUCAGGCAAAAUAGACAUUUUUGCAGAAGAUUGUAAACAUGAUUGUUUAAAAAAAAUAAUUCAAUGCAAUAUAAAAGUAGGUCCUACUCUUACUAUGCAUUGGGCAGGGAACAGGCAUAUAAUUUUGUGUGGCGAAGAAGGUCUUAUGACAGUCUUGACACAGACACAGACAGUAGAACCUGCACUAAAGAUCCACAAGCUUGCCUUUUUGCCUAAUUCUAAAGACAGAAGGGUCACAGCAGCUGCUUUGAAUAGUCAAAACAAAAUCAUGGUAGUUGGUGAUAGAUGUGGCAAUGUACAUGUUUACAUUGACGAACGAAAAAUUCCGGUUCAAACAUUCAAAAAAGUCCAUGGUAUAUAUGGGCCUACUUCAAUAACAGUCAAACCAAAUGAAUUUAUUACCACUGGCAGAGAUGGAACCAUUCGAUAUUUCGCAAUAGAUUUCUCAUUAAGUAAAGACGACGAUUCUGUUGCAAAGUUUAAGAGUAGUAAAGAUGUGGCAUUUCAAUGGGUUGAAAGAUUUAUUGAUAAAGAUGAAAAUAUAAUUUGUGGAUUUAAAGAAAGAGAAUUUGUCGUUUAUAAUGUUCAAAGCAAUCUAAAACUGAUAGCGAUACCUUGCGGUGGUGGGCACAGGACUUGGGACGUCGUCCGAAACGUCAUCUUAUCUGGCAAGAAAACUGAUGAUUUCAUCAAGUUGGUAUAUGCUAAAAAUAACGCAAUUUGCAGCCAUACCUUCCAACUGAGCAAGGUAGUGUCUAAACACGUCAUAAACAGCUCACAUUCGAAGGAAAUCAAUUGCCUAAAGAGUUUUAAAAAUGAAUUGGACACAACUAUUGCUUAUUACGUUACUGGCGGGGAAGAUACUACGUUAAGGGUGUCUUCUAUUAAUUCAGAUAUGGAAAUCUGUGACGAGGUUGUUUUUAAGCAUCUAUCAAACAUAAGGGCUUUAAAGAUACUUGAUUUGGAGGGUAGCAUACUUGUCGUGUCUGGCGGUGGAAGAGCGCAGAUGCGUAUCCAAGCAAUAUACGUCUCAAGAGGCCAUAAACGACUUAAAGUAGCGGCGCAAGAGCUAACUAACUACCUAAUCAAGGGUACAGAUAAAGACAGGAAGUGUAAUCAGUCUUGGAAAAACAACACAAUAGAUUUCGAUCCAGAAACAAGAAUCAUGGAUGUUGACCUACUGAAACAAGAGGAUGACAACUUUCUCGUAUUUGCAGGCUGCUCUGACGCUUAUCUCAGAGUAUUUGUAUUUGUUAACAAAUGUGAUAAUGCAACUUUCGAGCCUGUCGCUGAAUUGAAGCAUCACCAAACGUGCAUUUUGAAGACGACUUGUAUAAAGAUUUUAAAUAAAAAUAUUUUAAUAACGUGCACCACGAGAGGGGAAGUUUCCCUGUGGGAUGUCAGCAAUAUUGAAUCAUGGGAUGGCCUUAGUCCGUUUUUCACGACGACGACUAAUAAAUGUGGAAUAAACAGCAUUGACACACGCGUAUAUUAUGAAAAGUUGCUUUUUGCGACAGGGGGAGAUGAUAAUGCUAUACAUUUAACCUUACUAGAAUUCCCGAACAAAAAUGUUUACGCUGCUUGUGUGAAGCGUACAUGGUCCACAGACCAGUUCCAUUGCUCCCAAGUCACUGGAGUGCGAUUCGUGGGUGAUCUGCUGUUGUCGACUUCUAUAGACCAGAGAAUAACGUUGGCGCGGUGGCGCGUGGAAAAGCAGGCGAUAGUGUGCGAAUUUCUGUCUCAAAUCUUCAGCGAUAUUGCCGACAUUCAAGGACUAGAAGUUCUUUCAGACACCGGCAAUGUCAUCAAGGUUUGCGUUUUCGGCAAGGGCUUCGAGAUGUUGGAAUUACCGAAGCCGUAAGCAAUAAGCAUCGCCUCCGCAACAACCGAUAAGCUAUCAACAGCCGUUAUCUUCAACGAGCCCGAGUGUAUACGUAUUAAGUACCCACUACCAGAAGACGACGAAAAUAAUGAUUAUGAAGAGUUUACUGAUGU
This is an RNA transcript of Ostrinia furnacalis (Asian corn borer), 3265 nucleotides long. RefSeq lists it as uncharacterized. Lineage: Eukaryota; Metazoa; Arthropoda; Insecta; Lepidoptera; Crambidae. The record is from RefSeq and is a predicted model, not a curated record. The transcript is spliced from 6 exons.